RNAcentral lists this ribosomal RNA (226 nucleotides) under uncultured bacterium. RNAcentral's name for it is "partial 16S ribosomal RNA". It matches the Rfam family "Bacterial small subunit ribosomal RNA", at positions 538 to 763 of the family's 1533-position model. The record is from RNAcentral.
GCGUUGUCCGGAGUUACUGGGCGUAAAGCGCACGCAGGCGGUCAACUACAUCUGUAGGGACAGGGCACAGCUUAACUGUGUCAGGCUUAUGGAAAUGGGUAGACUUGAGGGCUUCAGAGGGAUGGGGAAUUCCGGGUGGAGUGGUGAAAUGCGUAGAGAUCCGGAAGAACACCAAAGGCGAAGGCACCAUCCUGGGAAGAACCUGACGCUCGGGUGCGAAAGCUAG